CGCUACUACUGCGUCCGCCGUCGUACGGGAACGACGCGUGCAUGUUCGUCUGAAAUCAGAAACGAUGUUUCAAUCAAGGUAACGGAAUUACUAUCCUGUAUAUGCCUCAACAUUCACGCUGGUUACUCUCGCCAAUCUCGAAAGGAGGAGCGGCUGAUGACGAUGACUCGUCGAAACAACGUACGACACGAGGAACGAUAAGCGGAUACGAUGGGACCAAGCAUGAGUCUUCUAGGAAAUCGAGAACAAGGCGGAUAUAUGCUCGGAAUCUUAAUCACGUCCGCUAGAGGGGGAGAAAAACUGGCGAUUUUAUCCAGACUGCGAGUCGCUCAGUGUAACAAAUACGGUUAUAUCACGAGCCCUUGCCAUUAUAUUGCUCUACAUCUUUCCUACGUGAGCGUCGCAACGUAGAAGAAAUCAUCGCGAGCGAGUUUUUCCGAUUUCUUUGGCUGGACUGCCCCCUUCCUUUCACCCCGUUGUAAUCCUUCGUCCUCCGUCACGAUCAUUUGGAUUGACGUGCGACAUACAUGCGAUAAAGGAGGGAAGGAAAAAAAGCUCACACAAACGGUACUGAAUUCCUCGAUCGACGAUCAAUAUUUCUCGUGUCGCGCCAUUUAGGAUGUAUUUUAAGUCCAUCGCACAUUCCGUGCAUUCUGUCACUCGAUGUGUAAUGUAUGUCCUAAUUACGAUCAGCUGAUUUAAGGAACCUCGGUAUGCGCGUAGAAAAUAUUGACAUACUUACAUAUAGAAACAAUGUUUUUGCUAAGGUACCUAAAAAUUUAGUUCGAUAUUAAUAUCUGAAAAUAAUGCUAUCUAUUCAAACUGUUUAAAAGUAAAAUGUUCACCGACAACGAGACAAUAAAAUUAUUGUACACAGGCGAGCAGUGUCGGCUCAUAUUGGCAUUAUUCGAUAUAUAUUUCAGAUUUAUUUCUUCCGAGCCUAAAUUCCUGUGUUUAAAAAUGAUUUUGUUGCACCAUCAAAAUAAUUAUAUAGGACGCCUUAAGCUUGACGAGCAAUAUUGCACAAUGUUUUGGCAUUCUAGGAAUCACUUAAGCGCCCUGCAUAAUUAUUUUGAUGGUCUGACAAAAUUACUUUCAGAUCUGUAUCUGUAGGUAAAUUUUUAUACAUGCACUUUAGCAAAAGUGUUCUUUCUGCGUAAUUGCAGGAUUUCACUGUAAUUACAAAAGCGGUCAUUAUUUGACAGUUAUCGUCACGAAAACUUUAGCUUCUCUUUUUUCGCGAGAUUAGCAGAUCUCGCCUAAUUGAAAAUUGAUGUCCGGAACGCGCUGCAUUCGCGUGGCUCGAAUCAGCUGGAUUAUAAUUCGGAGAAGCGGGACACAUCGGCGCAAUCACUGCGCUUGCUUUUUAAGCGCUGACCGCACGUCAGGCCGAAUGUCAAUUUUACCAACCAGCGAGGGGGAAGAAGGUGGCCGUCGCGCGUAUAGGUCUGCCGUUUUCACGAGAUCGAGGCUACUCGAUCGAUUCAUCAUUCGUACUAACGUACGGGGAAUGUUGCGUGUGCGGAUUAGCAAAUAUGCCUAAUGAGCUCGAUAUGAUCGAUAGCGUCGCUAUUUUGCGUUCGCGCGAUGAGAAACCGUUCGGCAGAUGCGAGAGAGCAUUAAGGUCAUGACUGUCCGAAUCCGGAGUCGUGUGAUUAGGAGGUCGAAAAUUAUAUGUUUUAUGUCGCGUCUGAGCACCGGCGGACUCCAUCCAGGAAACUUUCACGGGAACAAACAAAAAAAGGCGCGCGGCGCUAAUUAACGUGCUCGGAACCGCUUUCUGGGCUUAUAUUGACGAGUUCGCGAUAGUUAUACAUUGCCGCGCCGGCUAAUGAGAUGAAAUGUGAUCGCCUUUCUCUCGUUAAACGCUCCGGUAAAAUAAAAUCACGUAUCGCCGUCGCGGUAACGUCGAUACUGAUAAAUGACGGCGUAUUGGAUCGAACCACAACGGGACGGACAACGGCGAUAAUAUGCUCGCCUGCAUUCUUGUACGGCGAUAUAUAUCUCUCUCUCUUAUUACAUAAUUCCUUCGCCUUGCGGGGCAACGGGGAUACAGUUAUAAAUGUAUAUUAUUUAUGUCCACGAAUGUAGGCGAGAAGCGCAUUUCGAACAUUUGGAAUUGUAAGGAUAUUUGUACAUGUUUGCCCCGAAGAAGGCAGAAUUUAAACAAAUGUACAGAUGUAAGAAUAUAAUUACAGGCAUGCUAAAAAAGAUCAUAUAAAAAUCAAAUACUUUUUUUUUGCUAUAUUAUUCGUACAUAAACACAUGAUAAUAUAGUAGAUUAUAAAAAUAAAUGAGAAAUAUUUUUUUGUUAUAAAAAAAUUUGACUGGUCAUAAUUGUCCUUUCAAAUCAACACAAUAAAAAGCGAUGACUCGAUGAGAAAGAGACGCGUUAUAAUGAUCACAAGAACAAUUUUUAUCAUACAUAUAUAAAAACUCUAAAGUCGUUUUAUUCUUGCAAUAUGAAAGGUUGAACCUUAUUUUUAAAUCAUUCAAUUACGUUAAAAUGUAAAACAAGAUUUUACCGUUCUUUCUUCGCCGAUAAUUGGUUUUUAUAUCUACAUCUAUUUUUAUACAAAGCUAGUAAAUUAAAGAACAAAGUAGGAUCAAAAAAUUUAAGACACUUUACUUAUAUCUUGUGAUUAUUUUAUCGUGUUUAAGAUAACUGUUCCAAAUCUUAUGUAAGAUAUACAUGACAAUUAUAUAAUAAAUAGGGAGGCAAUAUUUAUGCAGUAGUAAUCAAAAUAUUGUCUGGUAGUAGGUUUAUAACUCACAUUGUUAUUUCUUUUAUUAUAUUUUAAUAAUCAAUCAAUUACAAGCUUGUCGCUUUUACUUUAUUAUAUAUUAAGGUUUUUACUUAAAUAUUGAGAAAAAUAAAUAUUACAUAUUUAAAAAACUCCAAAACAACCAUAUCAGCUGUCAUUAUGUACUAAGUAAUUGAGACAGUUACCCUAUAACUACUUUGAAGGUAGAGUGUAAAACUCGUUCACGUGUAUUACGUACUUAGAACAACGUAAAUUUAUUCUAUACAGUUCUAAUCUGACCCCGUUUUGUUCACGCCGUUGAUUAAACCGUUCUUAAUUCUUUCUAGCAGCAAAGGCGCAACAAUACUGCCGAUUUCUUGAAUCCAAACCCCUUUAGCUGAAAGACUGUCACAAACGCUAUUCUCUCGAGCAUAAAUGCUAAAGGGCGCUAAAGGGAUCCCUAAAGUUGCAUACAAUGAAACACAAGAGGAUAGGGGGAUACGACGGAGCGGCACGUUCUCAAGGAUAAAGCUAUCGGUCGAUCCACUCGGUUGAUUAUUGGCAUUGUGAUCGCUUCCAGAAACGCGCUCGUUUCGUUCAUAUUGCGCUAAGAAUAAGACGAAAAGAGACUGGAAAGAUUAUUAAUUUUUAUGAAUCUUCGACGAUAUGAUUCUCGCAAAACCCUAAUAUGUUCUCUUUUAUAUUAAUUCCAAUUACUGUAAAAGUUACAAUUAAAUCUCCAGGCUAUUGGCAGACAUAUAUAUUUUAAAUAUGUAAUAGAAGAAUUUGUAUUGGGAUUUUAUUGCAUUAGUGUAUAAAACAUUUUAUUAUAUAUUUAUAAAAUAUUUAUUAUAUUAUUAGUCAUGGAAUAUUUUUAUAAAAAUAUUUCCACACGAAUUUUAUAUCUGCGUGACAAAUACAAACCGAAUUUAUCAGCGUCGUUGACUUUGGAUUUGAGGAUUUUAUGCGCAUAUAAAAUCAUCUGCGAUUUGCUAAUAACGCAAGACGCGGGUUUGUUCACCCUUUAGGGAUACCUUUGGCUUAUCAUCUUAGGCAUCGCACUGCUUAGCAUAUUUGCUUCAAAGCAAACGUCCCUGGCAUCCUCCCCGAGGGAAUGCCAAAGGUCAGCCCAAAAUUUAAUAAGUAAAUUACUUAACAGGGCGCAACGAACGAGGCAUCGUACAAGGGGAAGUUUAUUUCGCAGAAAUAUUGCGGAAUUUUGCGAAAUUGUCGAAUCUGGGCAUAAACAUGUAAAGUACAUAGCGGUCUUUAGUUAUACGACAAAUUGAUUGAGAAGUUAAUAUUGAUUAUUUUAAGCGUCAGCUUGAAAUGAAUCAUUAUAAGUGAAUCAUUAUAAAGGAUAUUAUUACAGCAAACUAAUUUUUAAAUUUACAAAAUUAUCUAAUAGAUAUUGUUCUUUUAUAAAUCUAUCUAAUUACUUAGCGCGUGUUCAUGUCGCAAAACAUUAAUGCAUCGAAUAGGAGUUUACCGUAAAAAAAGGUAGAAUUAAACUUUGCGAUAAGAAAAAUGCAAAAAAAAAAAAAGAGAAAAUGUUAAUAGUACAAAUGCGAAUUAGAUAUAAAUAGCGGCGAUUGCAUUGCUAUUUAUAUCUAAUUAGUGCUCAUUAAUCGCGCAAUCUAAUCCACGGAUCUGAUCGAUGAUCCUAAUGGAACUGGUUGUUACGCGGCGCGAGUCACAUCGGAACGACACGUAUCUCGAUGCGCGUCGGUGGUGAUGUUGUACAUCGGUGCCGAUUGCGCGGAAAUUUCGCUCGCUCGGAUUGUCGCUCGCGCGGGUUCUUCCUCGCGUCGCCGAUCUAGUUAGCACGUCUGUCUAGUUAACGACGCGCGGAGACACAAGCCGAAGACGCGACCGGGACGGGACGCGCUCAACACUCGAGAGAACGCCCAAGUUUCCCUAACUAUGACGAACUAUGCAAAGGCGCCGUAUGGCUGUGUAGUUCCGCAGGCUUGGGGCACCAAGACUUUGCGUCUGGCCCGAAUAACCCGAGUGUCUUCUUGCCCCCGAGCGCAUCCGAAAGUCACGUCUUACGACGACGGGCACGGAGCGAUCUCGGUGGAUCCUCGCAUUCCCCAUCGUUAAAGACCCAGCGCUGGUUUUCCCCGCCACGAUAAACCGCCCUGUGCUACUCAUUGUCGUCUAUCCGUCGCGAAUGUCGCGUAGUUUUGUCGUUUCCACAACCGCUGAGCUCUCGCUGAGCUCUGCGUGAGAGAAACACUUAUCGAGAUAUCCCGCCGGUUAAAUUAAAAAUAACAGCCUUUUUUUAUAACGCUUGCGUGUAAUCGCAUAAAAGCUCUCUGACGCGACUUAUUAAAUAUUGCAUAAACUGAUAAAAAAUUCCAUGGCAAUCAUUGACGUUUGCAACGAUUUUUAAUUUAAAUAUCGUUCUUUUUAUAGAUUUAAAUAUAUUACAAAUAUUUAAAUAAUUGGAUAUUUAAAAUUUUUUCUGUCAAGAUUUACUAAUGUUAUUAUUGAGUAUAAGUUACAUUAACAAUAAUAUUAUUAUUUAUAAUAAUCAUUAUUUAGAGGUUCAUUUAUGCAAAUAUUUUUCUGCACUUUAAAAUAUAUUUUGUUAUCGAAUUUAUAAUCAGCAGAAAUGUAAUACACUUUAAAUAUUAAUGUCAUGGGACGACUGUUUGGAUACGUUAAUUAAUUAACAAUUAAAUUCAUUCGCAGUUAAGUAAUUAAUUAAUUACGUACUCUGUUAAAAAGUAUUACGCUAAUAAGUUUAUGAACAAAUAGGUAUUAACUCUAGAUUCUCAAUUCAUGCAAUCGUAACAUCGUCAACGUUUAAUAAUACACGUGCAGUAAUUGUAUUGUUUGUGAUAUAAAAGGCCUUUUAUGUUUUUUUUCUUGGUCUUUAAAGUUGUUGAUAUUAUACAUAUCUUUUCACCGCGUAAUGAUAGCAGAUUUUUUCACUUUUUUGUAACAUGGCUAGCGACCCUCGUUCAAGCUGAUUAAUUAUUAUUGACUUCAUGCAUUAAAGAAUUAUGGUAAAUGUAAAUGACCAUUAAGAAACUCGCGUAGCUUAUUUACACCUGUUUGAGAUAUGCACAUUUUUUUGUCGGUUGUUAAGCAAGCUUUUCUUAAUAUCCUAGCGCGACUCAAUUUCUCAGAACUAAAACUUGUGCGAGUAACAAUAUAUGCUUGCGUUAACUUCCGUUUAAAGAGAAGAGAGAAGCAACCACUAUGUAAACAAAGCAAAAGUUCGUUAUUCAGUAACCUAAUUCAAUAUUGUAGGAAAUCGGGAGUAUAGCGUUCUGAGAUUUCAUUAAAAUCGAAGAUACCCACCCUACCUACAGGAAUGCCCGUGGGCUAGAAAGAAAUAGCCUCGAAGGGGUGCGAUGUUUGGAAUAAUCAAUAACGCGCAUUUGAUCGUGAGAGGGUAGAACGUUUUCACAGCCACCCUUGGAUGGCAAGCAAGUUACACAUAUGACUGAAAUACUUUUUAUAUUCUAAAGUAUAUCAAGUACACGGGAAGAAUGAUUUUGUUAUAUCUAUAAAUAUGUCUAGAUUCCAAAAAAAUAAA
This 6294-nucleotide long non-coding RNA is filed under the name Monomorium pharaonis (pharaoh ant). RNAcentral describes it as "uncharacterized LOC118644378, transcript variant X2". Lineage: Eukaryota; Metazoa; Arthropoda; Insecta; Hymenoptera; Formicidae. The record is from RNAcentral.